RNAcentral lists this ribosomal RNA (253 nucleotides) under uncultured bacterium. RNAcentral describes it as "partial 16S ribosomal RNA". It matches the Rfam family "Bacterial small subunit ribosomal RNA", at positions 524 to 776 of the family's 1533-position model. The record is from RNAcentral.
UACGUAGGGGGCUAGCGUUGUCCGGAAUCAUUGGGCGUAAAGAGCGCGUAGGCGGCCAGAUAAGUCCGGUGUGAAAGUCAAAGGCUCAACCUUUGAAUGCCGCUGGAAACUGUCUGGCUAGAGUCCGGGAGGGGCGAGUGGAAUUCCUGGUGUAGCGGUGAAAUGCGCAGAUAUCAGGAGGAACACCAAUGGCGAAGGCAGCUCGCUGGGACGGUACUGACGCUGAGGCGCGAAAGCGUGGGGAGCGAACAGG